UAGGGAAUCUUCCGCAAUGGGCGAAAGCUUGACGGAGCAACGCCGCGUGAGUGAUGAAGGUCUUCGGAUCGUAAAACUCUGUUAUUAGGGAAGAACAAAUGUUUAAGUAACUAUGCACGUCUUGACGGUACCUAAUCAGAAAGCCACGGCUAACUACGUGCCAGCAGCCGCGGUAAUACGUAGGUGGCAAGCGUUAUCCGGAAUUAUUGGGCGUAAAGCGCGCGUAGGCGGUUUUUUAAGUCUGGUGUGAAAGCCCACGGCUCAACCGUGGAGAGUCAUUGGAAACUGGAAAACUUGAGUGCAGAAGAGGAAAGUGGAAUUCCAUAUGUAGCGGUGAAAUGCGCAGAGAUAUGGAGGAACAACAGUGGCGACGGCGACUUUCUGGUCUGUAAUUGACGCUAAUGUGCGAAAGCGUGUGGAUCAAACAGG
This 429-nucleotide ribosomal RNA is filed under the name Actinomycetes bacterium. RNAcentral describes it as "Actinobacteria bacterium partial 16S ribosomal RNA". It matches the Rfam family "Bacterial small subunit ribosomal RNA", at positions 355 to 776 of the family's 1533-position model. Lineage: Bacteria; Bacillati; Actinomycetota; Actinomycetes. The record is from RNAcentral.